This 225-nucleotide ribosomal RNA is filed under the name uncultured bacterium. RNAcentral's name for it is "partial 16S ribosomal RNA". It matches the Rfam family "Bacterial small subunit ribosomal RNA", at positions 1276 to 1500 of the family's 1533-position model. The record is from RNAcentral.
CAAAAAACAAUCUCAGUUCAGACUGCAGGCUGCAACUCGCCUGCACGAAGUCGGAAUUGCUAGUAAUCGUAGGUCAGCAUACUACGGUGAAUACGUUCCCGGGCCUUGUACACACCGCCCGUCAAACCAUGAGAGUUGGCAACACCCGAAGUCGGUAGUCUAACCGCAAGGAGGACGCCGCCGAAGGUGGGGUUGAUGACUGGGGUGAAGUCGUAACAAGGUAGC